GUGCUCACUUUGGCAGCACGUAUACUAAAAUUGGAAUGAUACAGAGAAGAUCAGCAUAGCCCCUGUGCAAGAAUGAAAUGCAAAUUCAUGAAAUGGUCCAUAUUUUU
Neogale vison (American mink) is the source of this 107-nucleotide small nuclear RNA. The record is from Ensembl. Lineage: Eukaryota; Metazoa; Chordata; Mammalia; Carnivora; Mustelidae.